GAUGAACGCUGGCGGCGUGCCUAAUACAUGCAAGUCGAGCGAACAGAUAAGGAGCUUGCUCCUUUGACGUUAGCGGCGGACGGGUGAGUAACACGUGGAUAACCUACCUAUAAGACUGGAUAACUUCGGGAAACCGGAGCUAAUACCGGAUAACAUAUUGAACCGCAUGGUUCAAUAGUGAAAGGCGGCUUUGCUGUCACUUAUAGAUGGAUCCGCGCCGUAUUAGCUAGUUGGUAAGGUAACGGCUUACCAAGGCAACGAUACGUAGCCGACCUGAGAGGGUGAUCGGCCACACUGGAACUGAGACACGGUCCAGACUCCUACGGGAGGCAGCAGUAGGGAAUCUUCCGCAAUGGGCGAAAGCCUGACGGAGCAACGCCGCGUGAGUGAUGAAGGUCUUCGGAUCGUAAAACUCUGUUAUCAGGGAAGAACAAAUGUGUAAGUAACUGUGCACAUCUUGACGGUACCUGAUCAGAAAGCCACGGCUAACUACGUG
RNAcentral lists this ribosomal RNA (496 nucleotides) under uncultured bacterium. RNAcentral describes it as "partial 16S ribosomal RNA". It matches the Rfam family "Bacterial small subunit ribosomal RNA", at positions 28 to 507 of the family's 1533-position model. The record is from RNAcentral.